AAAAAUACCUGUCAGGGAGAUACCAUAAUCACAAAGGUGGUUUUCCCAGUGCAAGGCAGUCUAGCUGUGUUGACCCCUGCAAUUUCCCCAAAUACAGCAAACUCAACUGCAUAAUUUGUGAUAGUAGGGGGAAAUUUUCAA
This 141-nucleotide small nuclear RNA is filed under the name Jaculus jaculus (lesser Egyptian jerboa). Its description in RNAcentral is "U1 spliceosomal RNA (ENSJJAG00000004146.1)". It matches the Rfam family "U1 spliceosomal RNA". Rfam says of the family: U1 is a small nuclear RNA (snRNA) component of the spliceosome (involved in pre-mRNA splicing). Lineage: Eukaryota; Metazoa; Chordata; Mammalia; Rodentia; Dipodidae. The record is from RNAcentral.